Molecule: ribosomal RNA, 497 nt
Filed under: uncultured bacterium
Lineage: Bacteria
Description: partial 16S ribosomal RNA
Rfam family: Bacterial small subunit ribosomal RNA
Source: RNAcentral
GAUGAACGCUGGCGGCGUGCCUAAUACAUGCAAGUAGAACGCUGAAGGAAGGAGCUUGCUCUUUCCGGAUGAGUUGCGAACGGGUGAGUAACGCGUAGGUAACCUGCCUGGUAGCGGGGGAUAACUAUUGGAAACGAUAGCUAAUACCGCAUAACAGUAGAUGUUGCAUGAUAUCUACUUAAAAGGUGCAAUUGCACCACUACCAGAUGGACCUGCGUUGUAUUAGCUAGUUGGUGAGGUAACGGCUCACCAAGGCGACGAUACAUAGCCGACCUGAGAGGGUGAUCGGCCACACUGGGACUGAGACACGGCCCAGACUCCUACGGGAGGCAGCAGUAGGGAAUCUUCGGCAAUGGACGGAAGUCUGACCGAGCAACGCCGCGGGAGUGAAGAAGGUUCUCGGAUCGUAAAGCUCCGUUGUAAGAGAAGAACGAGUGUGAGAGUGGAAAGUUCACACUGUGACGGUAUCUUACCAGAAAGGGACGGCUAACUACGUG